UUGGAGGGCAAGUCUGGUGCCAGCAGCCGCGGUAAUUCCAGCUCCAAUAGCGUAUAUUAAAGUUGUUGCAGUUAAAAAGCUCGUAGUUGAAUUUCGGGAUCAAUUUAUCGGUCGUGCCAAUGGUAUGAACUGGUACAAUUGGUUUCUCCCUUCUGACGAAGCAUGAUGUCAUUAAUUUGGUGUCGUGGGGAAUCAGGACUGUUACUUUGAAAAAAUUAGAGUGUUUAAAGCAAGCAUUAGCUUGAAUACAUUAGCAUGGAAUAAUGAAAUAGGACGUUUGAUCCUAUUUCGUUGGUUUCUAGGAUCGACGUAAUGAUUAAUAGGGAUAGUUGGGGGCAUUAGUAUCCAAUUGUCAGAGGUGAAAUUCUUGGAUUUAUUGAAGACUAACUACUGCGAAAGCAUUUGCCAAGGAUGUUUUCAUUAAUCAAGAACGAAAGUUAGGGGAUCGAAGACGAUCAGAUACCGUCGUAGUCUUAACCAUAAACUAUGCCGACUAGGGAUCGGAUGAUGUUAAUUUUUUAAUGACUCAUUCGGCGCCUUACGGGAAAC
RNAcentral lists this ribosomal RNA (549 nucleotides) under uncultured Glomeromycotina. RNAcentral's name for it is "SSU rRNA". It matches the Rfam family "Eukaryotic small subunit ribosomal RNA", at positions 548 to 1098 of the family's 1831-position model. The record is from RNAcentral. Lineage: Eukaryota; Fungi; Glomeromycota.